AGAGUUUGAUCCUGGCUCAGAUUGAACGCUGGCGGAAUGCUUUACACAUGCAAGUCGAGCGGCAGCGCGGGGCAACCUGGCGGCGAGCGGCGAACGGGUGAGUAAUGCAUCGGAACAUGUCCAUGUCGUGGGGGAUAGCCCGGCGAAAGCCGGAUUAAUACCGCAUACGCCCUUAGGGGGAAAGCCGGGGACCGCAAGGCCUGGCGCGAUUGGGUUGGCCGAUGUCCGAUUAGCUAGUUGGCGGGGUAAAAGCCCACCAAGGCGAUGAUCGGUAGCUGGUCUGAGAGGAUGAUCAGCCACACUGGGACUGAGACACGGCCCAGACUCCUACGGGAGGCAGCAGUGGGGAAUUUUGGACAAUGGGGGAAACCCUGAUCCAGCCAUUCCGCGUGAGUGAAGAAGGCCUUCGGGUUGUAAA
Molecule: ribosomal RNA, 418 nt
Filed under: uncultured bacterium
Lineage: Bacteria
Description: bacterial SSU rRNA
Rfam family: Bacterial small subunit ribosomal RNA
Source: RNAcentral